GACGAACGCUGGCGGCGUGCCUAAUACAUGCAAGUUGAGCGCUGAAGGUUGGUACUUGUACCAACUGGAUGAGCAGCGAACGGGUGAGUAACGCGUGGGGAAUCUGCCUUUGAGCGGGGGACAACAUUUGGAAACGAAUGCUAAUACCGCAUAAAAACUUUAAACACAAGGUUUAAGUUUGAAAGAUGCAAUUGCAUCACUCAAAGAUGAUCCCGCGUUGUAUUAGCUAGUUGGUGAGGUAAAGGCUCACCAAGGCGAUGAUACAUAGCCGACCUGAGAGGGUGAUCGGCCACAUUGGGACUGAGACACGGCCCAAACUCCUACGGGAGGCAGCAGUAGGGAAUCUUCGGCAAUGGACGAAAGUCUGACCGAGCAACGCCGCGUGAGUGAAGAAGGUUUUCGGAUCGUAAAACUCUGUUGGUAGAGAAGAACGUUGGUGAGAGUGGAAAGCUCAUCAAGUGACGGUAACUACCCAGAAAGGGACGGCUAACUACGU
Molecule: ribosomal RNA, 496 nt
Filed under: uncultured bacterium
Lineage: Bacteria
Description: partial 16S ribosomal RNA
Rfam family: Bacterial small subunit ribosomal RNA
Source: RNAcentral